RNAcentral lists this ribosomal RNA (265 nucleotides) under uncultured prokaryote. RNAcentral describes it as "partial 16S ribosomal RNA". It matches the Rfam family "Bacterial small subunit ribosomal RNA", at positions 524 to 788 of the family's 1533-position model. The record is from RNAcentral.
UACGUAGGUGGCAAGCGUUAUCCGGAAUUAUUGGGCGUAAAGAGCGCGCAGGUGGUUGAUUAAGUCUGAUGUGAAAGCCCACGGCUUAACCGUGGAGGGUCAUUGGAAACUGGUCGACUUGAGUGCAGAAGAGGGAAGUGGAAUUCCAUGUGUAGCGGUGAAAUGCGUAGAGAUAUGGAGGAACACCAGUGGCGAAGGCGGCUUCCUGGUCUGUAACUGACACUAAGGCGCGAAAGCGUGGGGAGCAAACAGGAUUAGAUACCCU